Long non-coding RNA from Hyalella azteca, 224 nucleotides. RefSeq lists it as uncharacterized. NCBI's taxonomy places the organism in Eukaryota, Metazoa, Arthropoda, Malacostraca, Amphipoda, Hyalellidae. The transcript is spliced from 3 exons. The record is from RefSeq and is a predicted model, not a curated record.
CUACCCUCCAGAACUACGUCAUCGUGACUCCCGUCUACAACACUGUGCACGUUCGCUCACAAUGUGCCUGUGAAGCGCAGUGCCGUACGAACGACACCUGCACGGCCGUGACUUACGAUGCCGUGAGCGACGUCUGCUUCCUCAGCAACGCAACUGGGAGCUCCUUGACGACGCGGCACCUGCUCGAGGCGGUCACCUACACCAAGUUCUCGUACGUUCCCGCC